CCCUUAGAUGUCCUGGGCUGCACGCGCGCUACACUGGAAGUUACGGAUUGAGAUACUACCUUGUCCGAAAUGGUCCGGGUAAUCACCUAAAAGCUUGUCAUAAUUGGAAUGGAUUAUUGUAACUAGUAAUCCUGAACGAGGAAUUCCUAGUAAGUCCCAGUCAACAGCUGGUACUGAUUACGUCCCUGCCCUUUGUACACACCGCCCGUCGCUACUACUGAUUGGAUGUUUAAGCGAGGUUCUCGAACUGCUAGUGACUGAUCUUCGGUGAGGUCGCAGUGUGGGAAGUGAACCUAGCUUUGGUGUCUAGAGGAAGUAAAAGUCGUAACA
This 330-nucleotide ribosomal RNA is filed under the name uncultured eukaryote. RNAcentral describes it as "partial 18S ribosomal RNA". It matches the Rfam family "Eukaryotic small subunit ribosomal RNA", at positions 1470 to 1796 of the family's 1831-position model. The record is from RNAcentral.